GACGAACGCUGGCGGCGUGCUUAACACAUGCAAGUCGAACGGUGAAGCGCCUUCCUUUUUGGUGGGUGUGGAUGAGUGGCGAACGGGUGAGUAACACGUGAGUAACCUGCCCCCUUCUUCUGGAUAACCGCAUGAAAGUGUGGCUAAUACGGGAUAUUCUGGGUCUGUCGCAUGAUGGGUCUGGGAAAGAUAUUGUUUCGGUGGGGGAUGGGCUCGCGGCCUAUCAGCUUGUUGGUGGGGUGAUGGCCUACCAAGGCGGUGACGGGUAGCCGGCCUGAGAGGGUGGACGGUCACACGGGGACUGAGACACGGCCCAGACUCCGACGGGAGGCAGCAGUGGGGAAUAGUGCACAAUGGGCGCAAGCCUGAUGCAGCGACGCCGCGUGAGGGAUGGAGGCCUUCGGGUUGUGAACCUCUUUCGCCAGUGAAGCAGGCCUGCCUCGUUUGUGGGUGGGUUGACGGUAGCUGGAUAAGAAGCGCCGGCUAACUACGUG
This 494-nucleotide ribosomal RNA is filed under the name uncultured bacterium. RNAcentral's name for it is "partial 16S ribosomal RNA". It matches the Rfam family "Bacterial small subunit ribosomal RNA", at positions 28 to 507 of the family's 1533-position model. The record is from RNAcentral.